AUCAAGCUGAGGAGUCACGAAUAGGACGAAACGUGCGUUCUGGAU
Non-coding RNA from Schistosoma rodhaini, 45 nucleotides. The record is from Rfam. NCBI's taxonomy places the organism in Eukaryota, Metazoa, Platyhelminthes, Trematoda, Strigeidida, Schistosomatidae.